CCCGCCGAGGAGCGUUGCGACGGCUGAUCUGCCGCCAGGCUCGUCGGGCUUUCCCUUUGGAAAACGACGCUCGCCGCUU
RNAcentral lists this non-coding RNA (79 nucleotides) under Pseudomonadota bacterium. Its description in RNAcentral is "Proteobacteria bacterium SAH sequence". It matches the Rfam family "SAH (S-adenosyl-L-homocysteine) riboswitch aptamer". The record is from RNAcentral. Lineage: Bacteria; Pseudomonadati; Pseudomonadota.